This 468-nucleotide ribosomal RNA is filed under the name uncultured bacterium. Its description in RNAcentral is "partial 16S ribosomal RNA". It matches the Rfam family "Bacterial small subunit ribosomal RNA", at positions 28 to 507 of the family's 1533-position model. The record is from RNAcentral.
GAUGAACGCUGGCGGCGUGCUUAACACAUGCAAGUCGAACGGACAGGCCCGGCGUUUGUUUUGUUCUUGAUUGGCGAACGGGGGAGUAACACGUGAGUAUCCUGCCCCUUACUUUCGGAUAACUUUAGGAAACUCGGGCUAAUACCGCAGAUGAUCUUCUGCUGCAUGGGGGUGAUUGGAAAGUUUCGGCGGUUGUGGCUGGUCUCGCGGCUUACCAGCUGGUUUGGGAGGUAGUGGCUUACCAGGGCUUUGACGGGUAGCCGGCCUGAGAGAGUGACCGGCCACCUUGGGACUGAGAUACGGAGCAGAAUCCUACGGGACGCAACAGUGGGGAAUCUGACACAAUGGGCGGACGCCUGAUGCAGCAGCGCCGCGUGCGGGAUGACGGGCUUCGGGUGGUAAACCGCUUUCUCAUGUGCCGUAGAGUGAGUGACGGUAAUGGGUCAAGAAGCCACGGCUAACUACGUG